RNAcentral lists this ribosomal RNA (508 nucleotides) under uncultured bacterium. RNAcentral describes it as "partial 16S ribosomal RNA". It matches the Rfam family "Bacterial small subunit ribosomal RNA", at positions 28 to 507 of the family's 1533-position model. The record is from RNAcentral.
GACGAACGCUGGCGGCGUGCCUAAUACAUGCAAGUCGAACGCUUCUUUCCUCCCGAGUGCUUGCACUCAAUUGGAAAGAGGAGUGGCGGACGGGUGAGUAACACGUGGGUAACCUACCCAUCAGAGGGGGACAACACUUGGAAACAGGUGCUAAUACCGCAUAACAGUUUAUGCCGCAUGGCAUAAGAGUGAAAGGCGCUUUCGGGUGUCGCUGAUGGAUGGACCCGCGGUGCAUUAGCUAGUUGGUGAGGUAACGGCUCACCAAGGCCACGAUGCAUAGCCGACCUGAGAGGGUGAUCGGCCACACUGGGACUGAGACACGGCCCAGACUCCUACGGGAGGCAGCAGUAGGGAAUCUUCGGCAAUGGACGAAAGUCUGACCGAGCAACGCCGCGUGAGUGAAGAAGGUUUUCGGAUCGUAAAACUCUGUUGUUAGAGAAGAACAAGGACGUUAGUAACUGAACGUCCCCUGACGGUAUCUAACCAGAAAGCCACGGCUAACUACGUG